RNAcentral lists this ribosomal RNA (385 nucleotides) under uncultured bacterium. Its description in RNAcentral is "bacterial SSU rRNA". It matches the Rfam family "Bacterial small subunit ribosomal RNA", at positions 30 to 417 of the family's 1533-position model. The record is from RNAcentral.
AUUGAACGCUGGCGGCAUGCCUUACACAUGCAAGUCGAACGGCAGCGGACCUUCGGGUGCCGGCGAGUGGCGAACGGGUGAGUAAUAUAUCGGAACGUACCUUUCAGUGGGGGAUAACGUAGCGAAAGUUACGCUAAUACCGCAUAUUCUGUGAGCAGGAAAGCAGGGGAUCGCAAGACCUUGCGCUGAUUGAGCGGCCGAUAUCAGAUUAGCUAGUUGGUGAGGUAAAGGCUCACCAAGGCGACGAUCUGUAGCGGGUCUGAGAGGAUGAUCCGCCACACUGGAACUGAGACACGGUCCAGACUCCUACGGGAGGCAGCAGUGGGGAAUUUUGGACAAUGGGCGCAAGCCUGAUCCAGUCAUGCCGCGUGAGUGAAGAAGGCCU